AAUAAGUGUAAUUUUGCACUAUUCACGUUCAACGUUUCACUGUUCGUCUUAUUUGAAAAUUUUUUAUGAUUAGUAGUUUCAUUGCUAUUAGAUGAUAAAACAUUAAUAGUACUUUAUGUGUGACUAAAUAUUUUUAAUUUUUUCAUAAAAUUUUUUAAAUAAGACGGACGGUCAAAUGUUGUGCACGGAUAUCCACGGCUGCACUUAUU
This is a non-coding RNA of Oryza glumipatula, 209 nucleotides long. Lineage: Eukaryota; Viridiplantae; Streptophyta; Magnoliopsida; Poales; Poaceae. The record is from Rfam.